This 894-nucleotide ribosomal RNA is filed under the name uncultured bacterium. Its description in RNAcentral is "bacterial SSU rRNA". It matches the Rfam family "Bacterial small subunit ribosomal RNA", at positions 8 to 916 of the family's 1533-position model. The record is from RNAcentral.
AGAGUUUGAUCCUGGCUCAGGAUGAACGCUAGCGGCGGGCUUAAUACAUGCAAGUCGAGGGGUGGUAGCAAUACUACACCGGCGCACGGGUGCGUAACGCGUAUGCAAUCUACCUUUAUCUGGGGGAUAGCCCGGGGAAACCCGGAUUAAUACCGCAUAACAAACUGAUUGGCAUCAAUUGGUUUUAAAAGAUUUAUCGGAUAGAGAUGAGCAUGCGUAAGAUUAGAUAGUUGGCGAGGUAACGGCUCACCAAGUCUACGGUCUUUAGGGGCUCUGAGAGGAGAAUCCCCCACACUGGCACUGAGAUACGGGCCAGGCUCCUACGGGAGGCAGCAGUAGGGAAUAUUGGGCAAUGGACGCAAGUCUGACCCAGCCACGCCGCGUGCAGGAAGAAGGCCCUCUGGGUUGUAAACUGCUUUUGACUGGGAAGAAAGAACCUCUUGCGAGAGGAGUUGACGGUACCAGUGGAAUAAGCCACGGCUAACUACGUGCCAGCAGCCGCGGUAAUACGUAGGUGGCGAGCGUUAUCCGGAUUUAUUGGGUUUAAAGGGUGCGUAGGCGGCUGAUUAAGUCAGCGGUGAAAGGUAGCAGCUUAACUGUUUUACAUGCCGUUGAUACUGGUUAGCUUGAGUUGACAGAAGGCAGAUAGAAUUUCUGGUGUAGCGGUGAAAUGCUUAGAUACCAGGAGGAAUACCGAUUGCGAAGGCAGUCUGCUGCAGUCACACUGACGCUGAGGCACGAAAGUGCGGGGAUCAAACAGGAUUAGAUACCCUGGUAGUCCGCACAGUAAACGAUGAUUACUAGUUGUUGGCGCAAGUCAGUGACCAAGGGAAACCGAUAAGUAAUCCACCUGGGGAGUACGCCGGCAACGGUGAAACUCAAAGGAAUUGACGG